CAGCCGCCACGGUAAUACGGAGGGUGCAAGCGUUAUCCGGAUUUAUUGGGUUUAAAGGGUCCGUAGGCGGAUCUGUAAGUCAGUGGUGAAAUCUCACAGCUUAACUGUGAAACUGCCAUUGAUACUGCAGGUCUUGAGUAAAUUUGAAGUGGCUGGAAUAAGUAGUGUAGCGGUGAAAUGCAUAGAUAUUACUUAGAACACCAAUUGCGAAGGCAGGUCACUAAGAUUUAACUGACGCUGAUGGACGAAAGCGUGGGGAGCGAACAGGAUUAGAUACCCCGUAGUCCCUGUCUCUUAUACA
Molecule: ribosomal RNA, 301 nt
Filed under: uncultured bacterium
Lineage: Bacteria
Description: partial 16S ribosomal RNA
Rfam family: Bacterial small subunit ribosomal RNA
Source: RNAcentral